This 1934-nucleotide ribosomal RNA is filed under the name Triticum aestivum (bread wheat). RNAcentral describes it as "partial small subunit ribosomal RNA". Lineage: Eukaryota; Viridiplantae; Streptophyta; Magnoliopsida; Poales; Poaceae. The record is from RNAcentral.
CCGUAACAGGGCACAGUCUUUGUCAAACAUUGCCAAAUAUCUUUGCCAAACAUUACCGUAUCCUGCUAAUGCAUGUGUUAAUUCGCCAUAAAAAACCAAUGCAUGUGUUUCCUAAACCAAUGCAUGUGGCCUUCUAUAAGGGUAGGAUACAGCAGGGCAAAUCGAACACUUGCCAAAUUCUCCACGACCUAUAUAGAAACCUCUUUACGAACACUUGCCAUUUUAACCCACUGCCACUGGUAUAGGUGCCGACGUGCUGUGCUCGCUUGCAAACCAUUGCUCUCUUGAACAACUUUGGCGAGCGAUCCAGCUAGCGGGCCGGCCGGACGUGCGUGCGUGCAUGGACGUGCUGUCGUCUGCGAAGCGCGCCCUCCCGUGGGGCCGCACCUCGGCCGGCGGGGUCAUCGGCGGCCUCCGAGCUCUACUCGGGACGGACGGAGGCGGCGGCCGCUCUCUUCUCCCGUCCCGGUGGAAGUCGUCGCAGCCGCAGCUGGACCCCGUCGACAGGUCCGACGAGGAGGGCGGCGGCGACAUCGACUGGGACAACCUCGGCUUCGGGCUGACCCCGACCGACUACAUGUACGUCAUGCGGUGCACGCAGGAGGAGGGCGGCUUCUCCCGCGGCGAGCUCGCCCGCUACGGCAACAUCGAGCUCAGCCCCUCCUCCGGCGUCCUCAACUACGGGCAGGGGCUGUUCGAGGGGCUCAAGGCGUACCGGAGGGCGGACGGGCCCGGGUACACGCUGUUCCGGCCGGAGGAGAACGCGCGGCGGAUGCAGCACGGCGCCGGGCGCAUGUGCAUGCCUUCCCCGUCCGUCGAGCAGUUCGUGCACGCCGUCAAGCAGACCGUCCUCGCCAACAAGCGCUGGGUGCCACCGCAAGGAAAGGGAGCGCUGUACCUCAGGCCGCUGCUCAUCGGGAGCGGGGCGAUCCUCGGGCUGGCGCCGGCGCCCGAGUACACCUUCAUGAUCUACGCCGCGCCCGUGGGCACAUAUUUCAAGGAAGGCAUGGCGGCGAUAAACCUGCUGGUCGAGGAGGAGAUCCACCGCGCCAUGCCGGGCGGCACCGGCGGGGUCAAGACCAUCUCCAACUACGCGCCGGUGCUCAAGGCGCAGAUGGACGCGAGGAGCAAGGGGUUCGCGGACGUGCUGUACCUGGACUCGGUCCACAAGAGGUACGUGGAGGAGGCCUCCUCCUGCAACCUCUUCGUCGUGAAGGGCGGCGCCGUCGCGACGCCGGCGACGGCGGGGACCAUCCUGCCGGGGGUCACGCGCAGGAGCAUCAUCGAGCUCGCCCGAGACAGCGGCUACCAGGUGGAAGAGCGCCUCGUCUCCAUCGACGAUCUGAUCAGUGCAGACGAAGUGUUCUGCACGGGAACGGCCGUCGGCGUCACCCCGGUGUCCACCAUCACCUACCAAGGGACAAGGUACGAGUUCAGGACCGGAGAAGACACGCUGUCGAAGAAGCUGUACACGACUCUGACGUCGAUCCAGAUGGGCCUGGCGGAGGACAAGAAAGGAUGGACGGUUGCGGUUGAUUGAUUAGGAUAACAGCGUGGGCGCAUGCGGCGCCGGAAGCAUUCAUCAGCAUUUCUUAUCAUGUCUUGCCAAUGUGAAUAAUAAUAGUCAUGGUGAUGAUAUCUCGGGGAUGUCUCGGCCCCCAAGGGCGAUGGUCUCUCUGAUGCUACUGGUUUCUUGGAAAAUAUGGAAAGAGAGAAAUGCACGGGUGUUCCGUAACAACGCAGUUCGUCAUGGGUGUUCUUGUUGCUCGAACUAAAGAGGAAGCUUCUCUGUGGUGUGGUGCCUAGCCGGGGUGAAAUUUUUGUGUAAUAUUAUGCCGCAAGAGUGAGGCUUGUAAUUCGGCCCGAGGCCUAGACUCUAAAAAACUUUUUAUUCAAUGAAAAUGGUAAGCCUUUUGCCUUGUUUUUAUUUUAAA